Molecule: ribosomal RNA, 422 nt
Filed under: uncultured bacterium
Lineage: Bacteria
Description: bacterial SSU rRNA
Rfam family: Bacterial small subunit ribosomal RNA
Source: RNAcentral
UAGGGAAUAUUGGACAAUGGGUGCAAGCCUGAUCCAGCCAUGCCGCGUGCAGGAAGAAGGCUUUCUGAGUUGUAAACUGCUUUUGCCAGGGGAUAAAAUACGGAUGCGUCCGGAAUUGAAGGUACCUGGUGAAUAAGCCACGGCUAACUACGUGCCAGCAGCCGCGGUAAUACGUAGGUGGCAAGCGUUGUCCGGAUUUAUUGGGUUUAAAGGGUGCGUAGGCGGUCUUUUAAGUCAGUGGUGAAAUACGGCAGCUCAACUGUCGAGGUGCCAUUGAUACUGGAAGACUUGAGUACUGAUGAGGUAGGCGGAAUGGACGGUGUAGCGGUGAAAUGCUUAGAUAUCGUCCAGAACACCGAUAGCGAAGGCAGCUUACUAAGGAGUAACUGACGCUGAGGCACGAAAGUGUGGGGAUCAAACAG